This 305-nucleotide ribosomal RNA is filed under the name uncultured bacterium. RNAcentral describes it as "bacterial SSU rRNA". It matches the Rfam family "Bacterial small subunit ribosomal RNA", at positions 335 to 658 of the family's 1533-position model. The record is from RNAcentral.
AACCUACGGGGGGCAGCAGUGGGGAAUAUUGCACAAUGGGGGAAACCCUGAUGCAGCGACGCCGCGUGAGUGAAGAAGUGAUUCGUCACGUAAAGCUCUAUCAGCAGGAAAGAAAAUGACGGUACCUGACUAAGAAGCCCCGGCUAACUACGUGCCAGCAGCCGCGGUAAUACGUAGGGGGCAAGCGUUAUCCGGAUUUACUGGGUGUAAAGGGAGCGUAGACGGCAGGGCAAGUCUGAAGUGAAAGCCCGGGGCCCAACCCCGGGCCUGCUUUGGAAACUACCGAACUAGAGUGUCGGCGAGGG